This 496-nucleotide ribosomal RNA is filed under the name uncultured bacterium. RNAcentral's name for it is "partial 16S ribosomal RNA". It matches the Rfam family "Bacterial small subunit ribosomal RNA", at positions 28 to 506 of the family's 1533-position model. The record is from RNAcentral.
GAUGAACGCUGGCGGCGUGCCUAAUACAUGCAAGUCGAGCGAACAGACGAGGAGCUUGCUCCUCUGACGUUAGCGGCGGACGGGUGAGUAACACGUGGAUAACCUACCUAUAAGACUGGGAUAACUUCGGGAAACCGGAGCUAAUACCGGAUAAUAUAUUGAACCGCAUGGUUCAAUAGUGAAAGACGGUUUUGCUGUCACUUAUAGAUGGAUCCGCGCCGCAUUAGCUAGUUGGUAAGGUAACGGCUUACCAAGGCAACGAUGCGUAGCCGACCUGAGAGGGUGAUCGGCCACACUGGAACUGAGACACGGUCCAGACUCCUACGGGAGGCAGCAGUAGGGAAUCUUCCGCAAUGGGCGAAAGCUUGACGGAGCAACGCCGCGUGAGUGAUGAAGGUCUUCGGAUCGUAAAACUCUGUUAUUAGGGAAGAACAAAUGUGUAAGUAACUAUGCACGUCCUGACGGUACCUAAUCAGAAAGCCACGGCUAACUACGU